Molecule: ribosomal RNA, 892 nt
Filed under: uncultured Gemmatimonadota bacterium
Lineage: Bacteria; Pseudomonadati; Gemmatimonadota
Description: bacterial SSU rRNA
Rfam family: Bacterial small subunit ribosomal RNA
Source: RNAcentral
CAAGUCGAACGGGACCGGGGGCAACUCCGGUUCAGUGGCAGAUGGGUGCGUAACACGUGAGGAACUUGUCCGUCGGCGGGGGAUAGCCGGCCCAACGGCCGGGUAAUACCGCAUCCGCUCGCUCGGGGGCAUCCCUGAGCGAGGAAAGCAGCCGCAAGGUUGCGCCGGCGGAGAGUCUCGCGGCCUAUCAGCUUGUUGGCGGGGUAAUGGCCCACCAAGGCGACGACGGGUAGCUGGUCUGAGAGGAUGGCCAGCCACAUUGGGACUGAGACACGGCCCAGACUCCUACGGGAGGCAGCAGUGGGGAAUAUUGCGCAAUGGUCGCAAGACUGACGCAGCGACGCCGCGUGUGGGAUGACGGCCUUCGGGUUGUAAACCACUGUCGGGGGGGACGAAUACAGGGCUUCGAAUAGGAGACCCUGGGUGACGGUACCUCCAAAGGAAGCACCGGCUAACUCCGUGCCAGCAGCCGCGGUAAUACGGAGGGUGCGAGCGUUGUCCGGAAUCACUGGGCGUAAAGGGCGCGUAGGUGGCUCGUUAAGUUGCCGGUGAAAUCCCGGGGCUCAACUCCGGGGCUGCCGGUAAGACUGGCGGGCUCGAGCACGGUAGAGGCAGAUGGAAUUCCCGGUGUAGCGGUGGAAUGCGUAGAGAUCGGGAAGAACACCAGUGGCGAAGGCGUUCUGCUGGGCCGUUGCUGACACUGAGGCGCGACAGCGUGGGGAGCAAACAGGAUUAGAUACCCUGGUAGUCCACGCCGUAAACGAUGGACACUAGGCGUCGGGGGGAGCGACCCCCUCGGUGCCGUCGCUAACGCAGUAAGUGUCCCGCCUGGGGAGUACGGCCGCAAGGCUGAAACUCAAAGGAAUUGACGGGGGCCCGCACAAGCGGUGGA